RNAcentral lists this ribosomal RNA (261 nucleotides) under uncultured archaeon. Its description in RNAcentral is "partial 16S ribosomal RNA". It matches the Rfam family "Archaeal small subunit ribosomal RNA", at positions 748 to 1008 of the family's 1478-position model. The record is from RNAcentral.
AGGGUGUAAACGCUGCGGACUUGGUGUUGGAAGUCCUUUGGGGGCAUUCAGUGCCGGAGAGAAGUUGUUAAGUCUGCUACUUGGGGAGUACGUCCGCAAGGAUGAAACUUAAAGGAAUUGGCGGGGGAGCACCGCAACGGGAGGAGCGUGCGGUUUAAUUGGAUUCAACACCGUAAAACUCACCAGGGAAGACUGUUACAUGAAGGCCGAGAUGAAGACUCUGCUAGAUUUUCAGAGAGGAGGUGCAUGGCGUCAGUGACU